Molecule: long non-coding RNA, 688 nt
Filed under: Nicotiana benthamiana
Lineage: Eukaryota; Viridiplantae; Streptophyta; Magnoliopsida; Solanales; Solanaceae
Description: long non-coding RNA (NBEN_LNC019611)
Source: RNAcentral
GAGAUUCUUCUUUCUUUAGAAUAUGCUUGGAUGAUAAGUCACUAUAAUCAUCAAAAUUUUAAAGAGUUGCACACCAAAUUUUAUCGCUAACAGUUAACAUACAAUGGUGCCCUCAUUGUGCUAAAAUCCUGGGUCCGCAUCUGUGUGUAUAUUUACACGCACACGCAUAGACAUGCUCACAUAAAUAGAAAAGCCUCUAAAUUUUAAAGGAAGAAAGUAAAAGGGAUACCUCUCUACUCUCUAGUGUAUGGCAUGGCGGAGAUGAUGAAAUCAAGCAUUUCAUUUUUUAUUUGUUCUGGUAUCACUGGCCUGACUAAUCCAGAUGUGCGCCACAUAAAGGAGAAGGUUUGCCAUUUUCAGCAAGAUGCAUACCUCUCUUUGUAGGAAAUUGAUGUUUUCUUCAUAGAAAGAAAGCUCCCCUUUUUCUGUAUAAUACAUGGACAGGAGAAGAUGAUGCACUUAUAUCCGUUGAAAAGAAAGGGACACUCGGCUAUUUUUGAGUUGAGACUAGCCUUUCUUCCCUUAAACAACACGCAAAUAAAAAUAUUUUUUAUAUAAAGGAUUAAUCCGCAUUCUCUUGUUCUUACCUCAAUUUCAGAUAAGAGGGAUUGCUCUGAUGGUAAGCAACUCUCACUUUCCACUGAGAUAUUAUCAGUUCGAGUCUUCCCAAAAGCUCUCUACUCCAAGG